UGAGCAAUCUGCCCUUCACAUCGGAAUAACCAUUGGAAACGAUGGCUAAUACCGAAUAUGACUUCGGAUCGCAUGAUCUGAAGUGGAAAGCUCCGGCGGUGAAGGAUGAGCUCGCGGCCUAUCAGCUAGUUGGUGGGGUAAUGGCUCACCAAGGCGACGACGGGUAGCUGGUCUGAGAGGAUGGCCAGCCACAUUGGGACUGAGACCAGGCCCAA
RNAcentral lists this ribosomal RNA (215 nucleotides) under uncultured bacterium. RNAcentral's name for it is "partial 16S ribosomal RNA". It matches the Rfam family "Bacterial small subunit ribosomal RNA", at positions 118 to 334 of the family's 1533-position model. The record is from RNAcentral.